Molecule: ribosomal RNA, 600 nt
Filed under: uncultured bacterium
Lineage: Bacteria
Description: partial 16S ribosomal RNA
Rfam family: Bacterial small subunit ribosomal RNA (bases 1-251)
Source: RNAcentral
CGGCCGCGUCGACUCUGAGAGGAUGAUCAGCCACACCGGGACUGAGACACGGCCCGGACUCCUACGGGAGGCAGCAGUGGGGAAUAUUGCACAAUGGGCGAAAGCCUGAUGCAGCAACGCCGCGUGAGGGACGACGGCCUACGGUUGUAACCUACUUUAGUCAGGAAGAAGCGAAAGUAGACGGUACCUAGCAGAAAAGACACCGGCUAACUACGUAGCCAGCAGCCGCGGUAAUACGUAGGUGCAAGCGUGUCCGGAAUUAUUGGCGUAAGAGAUCGUGACGUGCUGCUGUGUAUAGCUCUGUGUACCUUGCUGGUACUACGUACGUGAACGUCGACCGUACGUCGUAACGCGUACGACGUACCGACGUACCGACGUACGCCGUAACGUACCGUACGUACCGUAACGGUACCUAACGGUACCCGUACGUAACGUACCGUACGUACGUACGUACCGACGUUACCGACGUUCGAACUCGUACGUCGUACGUACGCGUUACGCGUACGUCGUACGUACGUCGACGUUCGUACGUCGAGUUCCGGAGUACCGGUACGUACGUCGGAACGUCGCGUAAGGUACCGAGUACGAGCAGUGAUGGAG